ACAGGUGCUGCAUGGCUGUCGUCAGCUCGUGUUGUGAAAUGUUGGGUUAAGUCCCGCAACGAGCGCAACCCUUAUCCUUUGUUGCCAGCGGUCCGGCCGGGAACUCAAAGGAGACUGCCAGUGAUAAACUGGAGGAAGGUGGGGAUGACGUCAAGUCAUCAUGGCCCUUACGACCAGGGCUACACACGUGCUACAAUGGCGCAUACAAAGAGAAGCGACCUCGCGAGAGCAAGCGGACCUCAUAAAGUGCGUCGUAGUCCGGAUUGGAGUCUGCAACUCGACUCCAUGAAGUCGGAAUCGCUAGUAAUCGUGGAUCAGAAUGCCACGGUGAAUACGUUCCCGGGCCUUGUACACACCGCCCGUCACACCAUGGGAGUGGGUUGC
Molecule: ribosomal RNA, 384 nt
Filed under: Escherichia coli
Lineage: Bacteria; Pseudomonadati; Pseudomonadota; Gammaproteobacteria; Enterobacterales; Enterobacteriaceae
Also listed under: 1 other name
Description: bacterial SSU rRNA
Rfam family: Bacterial small subunit ribosomal RNA
Source: RNAcentral